RNAcentral lists this ribosomal RNA (493 nucleotides) under uncultured bacterium. RNAcentral's name for it is "partial 16S ribosomal RNA". It matches the Rfam family "Bacterial small subunit ribosomal RNA", at positions 28 to 507 of the family's 1533-position model. The record is from RNAcentral.
GACGAACGCUGGCGGCGUGCCUAACACAUGCAAGUUGAGCGACGAACCAGGGCUUGCCCUGGGGCAAAGCAGCGAACGGGUGAGUAACACGUGGGUAACCUACCCCGAUAACCGGGACAACCCGAGGAAACUCGGGCUAAUACCGGAUGUGCUCACUGGACUUCGGUUCAGUGCGUAAAGGAAGCUUCGGCCUCCGUAUCGGGAGGGGCCCGCGGCCCAUUAGUUUGUUGGUGAGGCAACGGCUCACCAAGACCGCGAUGGGUAGCUGGUCUGAGAGGACGAUCAGCCACACUGGGACUGAGACACGGCCCAGACUCCUACGGGAGGCAGCAGUGGGGAAUCUUGCGCAAUGCGCGAAAGCGUGACGCAGCAACGCCGCGUGGGGGAAGAAGGCCUUCGGGUUGUAAACCCCUUUCAGGAGGGACGAAGGUUCGGCGGUGAAUAGCCGUCCGGACUGACGGUACCUCCACAAGAAGCCCCGGCUAACUACGUG